UACGAAGGGGGCGAGCGUUGUUCGGAUUUACUGGGCGUAAAGGGCGCGCAGGCGGUCUUGAAAGUCAGGCCUGAAAGCCCCGGGCUUAACCUGGGAAUUGCGCUUGAUACUCUGAGACUGGAGUACGGGAGAGGAGAGUGGAAUUCCCAGUGUAGAGGUGAAAUUCGUAGAUAUUGGGAAGAACACCAGUGGCGAAGGCGGCUCUCUGGACCGUAACUGACGCUGAGGCGCGAAAGCGUGGGGAGCAAACAGG
RNAcentral lists this ribosomal RNA (253 nucleotides) under uncultured bacterium. RNAcentral's name for it is "partial 16S ribosomal RNA". It matches the Rfam family "Bacterial small subunit ribosomal RNA", at positions 524 to 776 of the family's 1533-position model. The record is from RNAcentral.